GACGAACCGUGCGAACGUUGUUCGGAAUUACUGGGCGUAAAGCGCACGCAGGCGGUUCGCCAAGUUUGGAGUGACAGUUGUCGGCUCAACCGACAAAGGACUUCAAAAACUGGUGAACUUGAGGACGAGAGAGGAACAUGGAACUCCAGGUGUAGUAGUGAAAUGCGUAGAUAUCUGGAAGAACACCAAUGGCGAAGGCAAUGUUCUGGCUCGUUUCUGACGCUCAGGUGCGAAAGCCAGGGGAGCGAACGGG
RNAcentral lists this ribosomal RNA (253 nucleotides) under uncultured bacterium. RNAcentral's name for it is "partial 16S ribosomal RNA". It matches the Rfam family "Bacterial small subunit ribosomal RNA", at positions 524 to 776 of the family's 1533-position model. The record is from RNAcentral.